This 449-nucleotide ribosomal RNA is filed under the name uncultured bacterium. RNAcentral's name for it is "partial 16S ribosomal RNA". It matches the Rfam family "Bacterial small subunit ribosomal RNA", at positions 29 to 523 of the family's 1533-position model. The record is from RNAcentral.
AACGAACGCUGGCGGCAUGCCUAACACAUGCAAGUCGAACGAAGGCUUCGGCCUUAGUGGCGCACGGGUGCGUAACGCGUGGGAAUCUGCCCUUGGGUUCGGAAUAACUCAGAGAAAUUUGAGCUAAUACCGGAUGAUGUCGAAAGACCAAAGAUUUAUCGCCCAAGGAUGAGCCCGCGUAGGAUUAGCUAGUUGGUGAGGUAAAGGCUCACCAAGGCGACGAUCCUUAGCUGGUCUGAGAGGAUGAUCAGCCACACUGGGACUGAGACACGGCCCAGACUCCUACGGGAGGCAGCAGUGGGGAAUAUUGGACAAUGGGCGAAAGCCUGAUCCAGCAAUGCCGCGUGAGUGAUGAAGGCCUUAGGGUUGUAAAGCUCUUUUACCCGGGAUGAUAAUGACAGUACCGGGAGAAUAAGCUCCGGCUAACUUCGUGCCAGCCGCCGCGGUAA